UACGUAGGGGGCUAGCGUUAUCCGGAAUUACUGGGCGUAAAGGGUGCGUAGGUGGUUUCUUAAGUCAGAGGUGAAAGGCUACGGCUCAACCGUAGUAAGCCUUUGAAACUGAGAAACUUGAGUGCAGGAGAGGAGAGUAGAAUUCCUAGUGUAGCGGUGAAAUGCGUAGAUAUUAGGAGGAACACCAGUUGCGAAGGCGGCUGCCUGGACUGUAACUGACGCUGAGGCGCGAAAGCGUGGGGAGCAAACAGGAUUAGAUACCCGGGUAGUCCCUGAG
This 277-nucleotide ribosomal RNA is filed under the name uncultured prokaryote. RNAcentral's name for it is "partial 16S ribosomal RNA". It matches the Rfam family "Bacterial small subunit ribosomal RNA", at positions 524 to 801 of the family's 1533-position model. The record is from RNAcentral.